GAUUCCAUCCUGCAUGGCUGUUCUCUGGAGCAGUAGUCAUUUAUCUCCAUCCACCUUCUCUCCCACCUAAGGGUGUGCCACCAUCCCAAGGAAGAUUCGAUGGACAUGGACAUGAGCCCCCUGAGGCCCCAGAGCUAUCUUUUUGGUUGCGAACUAAAGGCCAACAAAGAUGAUCACUUUAAGGUGGAUAAUGAUGAAAAUGAGACCAGUUAUCUUUAGGAACAGUCAGUUUAGGAGCUGGUGCAAAGGAUGAACUGCACAUUGUUGAAGCAGAAACAAUGAAUUAUGAAGACAGUCCAAUUAAAGUAAGACUGACAACUUUGAAAAUGUCUGUACAGUCAACGGUUUCCCUUGGGGACUUUGAAAUAACACCACCAGUGGUCUUAUGGUUGAAGCUUGGUUCGGGGCCAGUGCAUAUUAGUGGACAGCACUUAGUAGCUGUGGAGGAAGCUGCAGAAUCAGAAGACGAAGAGAAGGAGGAUGUGAAACUCUUAAGUAUAUCUGGAAAGUGAUGCCCCUGGAGGUGGUAGCAAGGUUCCACAGAAACAAGUAAAACUUGCCGCUGAUGAAGAAGAAUAAGAAGGAGAAGGAGAAGAAGGAAGAAGAAGAUUUUGAUGAUGAGGAUAUUGAAGAAAAAGCACCGGUGAAGAAAUCUAUAAAGAUGCUCCAGCCGAAAAUGCACAGAAGUCAAAUCAGAAUGGAAAAGACUCAAAACCGUCAACACCAAGAUCAAAAGGACAAGAAACCUUCAAGAAACAGGAAAAAAAAAAACCUCCUAAAACACCAAAAGGGCCUAGUUCUGUAGAAGACAUUAAAGCAAAAAUGCAAACAAGUAUAGAAAAAGCUGGUUUGUUUCCCAAAAUGGAAGCCAAGUUCGUCAAUUAUGUAAAGAAUUGUCUCUGGAUGAAUGACCAGGAGGCUAUUCAAGAUCUCUGGCAGUGGAGGAAGUCUCUUUAAGAAAAUCGUUUGAACAAUUUGUUAAAAAUUUUCCAUCUUACUUCAUUUCUCUAACAGUUGCUAUCUGGCUGUACUUUUUAUAAUGCAGAGUGAGAACUUUCCCUACCAUGUUUGAUAAAUGUUGUCCAGGUUCCAUUGCCAAGAAUGUGUUGUCCAAAAUGCCUGUUUAGUUUUUAAAGAUGAAAAUCCACCCUUUGCUUGGUUUUAAGUAUGUAUGGAAUGUUAUGAUAGGACAUAGUAGUAGCAGUGGUCAGACAUAGAAAUGGUGGGGAGACAAAAAUAUACAUGUGAAAUAAAAGUCAGUAUUUUA
Molecule: long non-coding RNA, 1267 nt
Filed under: Homo sapiens (human)
Lineage: Eukaryota; Metazoa; Chordata; Mammalia; Primates; Hominidae
Description: non-protein coding lnc-ADPGK-3:1
Source: RNAcentral